RNAcentral lists this ribosomal RNA (328 nucleotides) under uncultured eukaryote. Its description in RNAcentral is "partial 18S ribosomal RNA". It matches the Rfam family "Eukaryotic small subunit ribosomal RNA", at positions 1470 to 1796 of the family's 1831-position model. The record is from RNAcentral.
CCCUUAGAUGUCCGGGGCUGCACGCGCGCUACACUGAAGGAAUCAGCGUGCUAAAACCAUUGUCGAAAGGCAUUGGUAAACCCAUUAAAAUCCUACGUGAUUGGGAUCGGGAAUUGCAAUUUUUUCCCUUGAACGAGGAAUUCCCAGUAAGUGUGGGUCAUAAGCUCGCGUUGAUUACGUCCCUGCCCUUUGUACACACCGCCCGUCGCUGCCCGGGACUGAGCCGUUUCGAGAAAAGCGGGGACUGCUGCUGUCGGGGCUUUCGGGCCUUGGCUUCGGUGGAAACCGCUUUAAUCGCAGUGGCUUGAACCGGGCAAAANUCGUANCA